This 377-nucleotide long non-coding RNA is filed under the name Fukomys damarensis (Damara mole-rat). Its description in RNAcentral is "lncRNA (ENSFDAG00000031156.1)". The record is from RNAcentral. Lineage: Eukaryota; Metazoa; Chordata; Mammalia; Rodentia; Bathyergidae.
GAAAUCUGCUUUGUUUAGAAAAGUAAUGUGCUCAGCUACGAAAAUGUGUUUACCUAAGUGACUGUAGCUAAAAAUGAUCUCAUGGUACAGUUCUGGCCAAUGAGAUGUAUGGCAGAUGGUUUUGGGGAGGCGCUGGUUCACAAACUGAAAGGAAACACUCCUUCUGCCCUUCGCUUUUGCCUUUCUUCCUUGCAGGCCUGAAGGCUCAGAAAACCAAUUCACAAAUGAGAAGACAAGCAACAUAUUCUAAGGAUGGUCAAGCAGAAAGCAGGAGUCCAGGUCCUCGAUGCCACUCACAGCUGCCACCCCAGGCUGUACUUUAUCCUGUCACAGAACAAGCUUUUAACAAGUGGCAGUUCUACAAGCACAGGAACUAG